UAGUGAGUUUGAUCCUGGCUCAGGACGAACGCUGGCGGCAUGCCUAACACAUGCAAGUCGAACGGUUGCAGCAAUGCAGCAGUGGCAGACGGGUGAGUAACACGUGGGAACCUUCCUAGGGGUACGGAACAACUCAGGGAAACUUGAGCUAAUACCGUAUACGUCCGUGAGGAGAAAGAUUUAUCGCCCUUAGACGGGCCCGCGUCGGAUUAGGUAGUUGGUGGGGUAACGGCCUACCAAGCCUACGAUCCGUAGCUGAUCUUAGAGGAUGAUCAGCCACACUGGGACUGAGACACGGCCCAGACUCCUACGGGGAGGCAGCAGUGGGGAAUCUUGGACAAUGGGCGCAAGCCUGAUCCAG
This 361-nucleotide ribosomal RNA is filed under the name uncultured Alphaproteobacteria bacterium. RNAcentral's name for it is "bacterial SSU rRNA". It matches the Rfam family "Bacterial small subunit ribosomal RNA", at positions 1 to 391 of the family's 1533-position model. The record is from RNAcentral. Lineage: Bacteria; Pseudomonadati; Pseudomonadota; Alphaproteobacteria.